CACAAUAAUCCCUCAACUUUUGAUAUAAAUCCCAUCGCAUGCUCUUCUUCUCCAGUCUUUAUAUGCACCAAAACUCUUCUCUUCUUUCUCUAGAUGACCUAGCAACCUACAUUUCAUCUCUCCUCACACUUUGAUUUUUUCUUCUUUCUUCUUCUUCUCCUAAUGAUUUUACAUAGGAAACAUUGCAUGUGCAAGGAUCCAUUCAAAAUUGUUAAGUUCCUCUCUUUUACUUUUCUCUUUUUCUUGUAGCAGCUGAGUAUAGCUGUCAUAGUACUCGACCCGUUUGUUCUUAGAUUCAUGUUUUGCAGGUCCUCACAAUCGUUUUGAGAGGGCCGGAGUUGACCUAGUCCUUCCAGAAAGAGAUUUAAUCAAGUUGAUCGAUCACAAGGGAAAAAGUGAAGCUGCCAGCAUGAUCUAGCUUUGGUUAUUAUGUAGAUCGAUAUCGAAUACGCUAAUAACGCUAGCUAGGUCAUGCUCUGACAGCCUCACUCCUUCCUAUU
Molecule: long non-coding RNA, 500 nt
Filed under: Rosa chinensis
Lineage: Eukaryota; Viridiplantae; Streptophyta; Magnoliopsida; Rosales; Rosaceae
Description: sRNA RchiOBHm_Chr6g0289861
Rfam family: MIR167 microRNA precursor family (bases 384-500)
Source: RNAcentral